CUAAGUUUGAUGGCGACCGGCGCACGGGUGAGUAACACGUAUCCAACCUGCCGAUGACUCGGGGAUAGCCUUUCGAAAGAAAGAUUAAUACCCGAUGGCAUAGUUCUUCCGCAUGGUAGAACUAUUAAAGAAUUUCGGUCAUCGAUGGGGAUGCGUUCCAUUAGGUUGUUGGCGGGGUAACGGCCCACCAAGCCUUCGACGGAUAGGGGUUCUGAGAGGAAGGUCCCCCACAUUGGAACUGAGACACGGUCCAGACUCCUACGGGAGGCAGCAUG
This 275-nucleotide ribosomal RNA is filed under the name uncultured bacterium. RNAcentral's name for it is "partial 16S ribosomal RNA". It matches the Rfam family "Bacterial small subunit ribosomal RNA", at positions 79 to 353 of the family's 1533-position model. The record is from RNAcentral.